UGGAGAUUUGCUCUUCCUGCUUGGCUGCCCCGCGAAUAAACCCUCUGCUGCAGACCUCGGCAUCUCGCGUCUGGCUGGCUCCAGGUUGGGCACAAACGAACCUGGUUCGGCGACGCCAUCGCUGCCCUCCUGACUCCCAGACAGAGCAACUGGGUUAAGUGAGACAACACAGCUAAGGUCUCCCAGCUUGGUUUCCUCAUUAGGCACGAACACCUCCCGUGACUGUCUCAAGGCUGUCUCACUUUACUGUGUCACACAAGGUGCAGCAGAGGCUGUGCACGCCCCUGCCUUGGCUGCUCUCCAACCUGGACUGAAUCCUCCUGGCCAGAAAGACCUCUGGUCACUGCAAAAGCUCUCCCGAGCCAGAAAGCUUCACUGAAAUCCAAGUGAGAAUAAAACGUUGCUUUACAGUAACUGGGGCAGCUAACCUGAGGGAGAGGAUUGGAGGAGAGUGUUCCUCAGAUCGACGAAGAGCUUCCCACCAUAGCUGAGGGGAAACAAGAACCAGAGGGAGGAGGAGAAGACAGAACUAAGAGGUGCUGGGCCCCACGCCGAGGACCAAGAUGGAGACACUCCUCCUAUAGGGGAUAGGGGCCAGGCCUGAGCCAGGGGCUCCCCCAUGCCAGUUCAUCAUCACCCCCACGCUCAGUGUUCCCAGGUCUGGUGGAUCUAAGAGACCCUGCUGGGCCAGCCCAGGACACUGCUCGAAGCUUAAGGACACGUUGGAGAAGCACAAAGCUGCCCCAGCAAGUGAGGAUGAACCCUGUGAGUUGUCCGUGAAGGAGAGCCCUCUGGCCAGCCAAGCCCAGCAGCUGUCACUUGCAAUGGUUUGUUUUCCUUCCUUUAUAGGGUCUUGAUUUCGGGCCACAAUAUCUUCCUUUACUCACUGACUGCUAAUAAAGAAUGUUCCUUUAUUUUAAAAGAAGGAAGGGGUGAAUACUCGAGUAUUAAAUACUUAUAAUACCUGGGUACUGCAUUUGUAAUACUUGAGCAGUUCCUAUGCUAAUGGGCAAAGGGAGGAAAUUAUUUUUGUAUCUUUAACCAAGUUUGUAGUCUCUGUGUUUUUUUUCCCCUCCUUACAAUAUAAUUUACUCUGCU
Bubalus bubalis (water buffalo) is the source of this 1098-nucleotide long non-coding RNA. RefSeq lists it as uncharacterized. The transcript has 5 exons. Lineage: Eukaryota; Metazoa; Chordata; Mammalia; Artiodactyla; Bovidae. The record is from RefSeq and is a predicted model, not a curated record.